CUGUGAUAGAACAUUGGUGGAGAGCAAACCACAAGCAUUGGGCAAAUUGGACUUUCCCUACCUCCUGAUGUCUUCAGGGCCUACAGUUUUGGUAAUGGAACCACCAUAUCUACAGAUGACCAUGCCAAAAGAAAAAAAAAAUUCCAAAAAGAAGCAAAAAUGAAGCCUGUUCAGUACUUUUGAGAUAUCAACUGUGCUGAGGGAAAGCAAAAACUGUAUGGGUCUUGUCUUAGGGAACUGGAGCCAAUGUGAAUAUCCUCUGAACUCUAAAAGAGCAAUGCAUUUACGUUUGGAUGCUCUGAUUUAAUUGUAUUAGCACAUGUUGUGAGCAAAUGAUAAUUUCACAUAUCCACGAGUUCCUCAAAUAAAACAAUUUUAAAAGUAA
Non-coding RNA from Lonchura striata (white-rumped munia), 385 nucleotides. NCBI's taxonomy places the organism in Eukaryota, Metazoa, Chordata, Aves, Passeriformes, Estrildidae. The record is from RefSeq and is a predicted model, not a curated record.